Molecule: small RNA, 179 nt
Filed under: Serratia ficaria
Lineage: Bacteria; Pseudomonadati; Pseudomonadota; Gammaproteobacteria; Enterobacterales; Yersiniaceae
Description: STAXI RNA
Rfam family: STAXI RNA (bases 1-158)
Source: RNAcentral
UGCUGUCGAUAGACAUCCACCAAUGAUCUGGCCAUCUGCGAGGAUCGCCUUCGGGUGAUGGCAAAAGAAAGCUUCCGUAGCCUGAGAGGGAGCACGCCAGGUAUGGUGUGGUACAUCUGCCCGCCUUUGGGAGCAGAUAUCGCUCAUUCAACGUAGUAUUCGGAGCGGUUAAGGCUGCU